UACGUAGGGAGCGAGCGUUGUCCGGAUUCAUUGGGCGUAAAGAGCGCGCAGGCGGUUUGGUAAGUCGGAUGUGAAAACCCGGGGCUCAACCCCGGGCGUGCAUCUCGAUACUGCCCGACUAGAGGUAGGUAGGGGAGAUCGGAAUUCCUGGUGUAGCGGUGAAAUGCGCAGAUAUCAGGAGGAACACCGGUGGCGAAGGCGGAUCUCUGGGCCUUACCUGACGCUCAGGCGCGAAAGCUAGGGGAGCGAAUGGG
This 254-nucleotide ribosomal RNA is filed under the name uncultured bacterium. RNAcentral's name for it is "partial 16S ribosomal RNA". It matches the Rfam family "Bacterial small subunit ribosomal RNA", at positions 524 to 776 of the family's 1533-position model. The record is from RNAcentral.